Molecule: long non-coding RNA, 625 nt
Organism: Oryctolagus cuniculus (rabbit)
Lineage: Eukaryota; Metazoa; Chordata; Mammalia; Lagomorpha; Leporidae
Source: RefSeq, a predicted model, not a curated record
GAAGACGUGGACUCGGUAAAGCAAGAGCUGUCACGUGCAAGGUGACAGCCGUGCCCCAGACUGUCCGCAGGGCGGCCAACCAGUCCGACCAGUCCAGGGGGAGCCCUGUGACUCAGCACAUCAACAGACGGGCUCUGCGUGUUGGCCCCAGGAUUCCGGUUCCAGGAAGAGACGGCCUGUGCUAGUGGCGGAAUAUAAGCUCUGUGAGAGUGGGGAUCUCCCAGUCGUCUCUGCAGUCAUAAACGUGGAGCCUGGAACAGUCCCUCCAGCGAGGAGCCACUCACCACCUGUGCAAUGUGCAGGAGCUGUGUGUGAGACACAGGACGGUGGAGAAAUCGAAAUUACAGGCUGGAAGGAGAGAGAGGCGCCGAGAUGUGGAAGCCGGCCUCUGGCCUGGAGACGGCCAAGGUCAUCUGGCACCAAGCCAGAAGCCUCCCUCGUGCGUGCUCCAGGUCAGCGCACGGCUGGAGACGUCGGUGCCUCGAGGAGCUGCGUCUCAGCCUCGGUUCCCUCCUCCGCGGCGGAGGAUGGCGAUGCACACACCACACGCGGCUAGCCUCAGAAUUAAUACUGGGGCUCGGGGCAGGAAAGCAUUGAACACAUAAAGUUUGCUGUGGUUUUAAGA